AAUGCUUAGGAAUCUGCCUAUUAGUGGGGGACAACAUUCCGAAAGGAAUGCUAAUACCGCAUACGCCCUACGGGGGAAAGCAGGGGAUCUUCGGACCUUGCGCUAAUAGAUGAGCCUAAGUCAGAUUAGCUAGUUGGUGGGGUAAAGGCCUACCAAGGCGACGAUCUGUAGCGGGUCUGAGAGGAUGAUCCGCCACACUGGGACUGAGACACGGCCCAGACUCCUACGGGAGGCAGCAGUGGGGAAUAUUGGACAAUGGGCGCAAGCCUGAUCCAGCCAUGCCGCGUGUGUGAAGAAGGCCUUUUGGUUGUAAAGCACUUUAAGCGAGGAGGAGGCUACUUGGAUUAAUACUCUAGGAUAGUGGACGUUACUCGCAGAAUAAGCACCGGCUAACUCUGUGCCAGCAGCCGCGGUAAUACAGAGGGUGCGAGCGUUAAUCGGAUUUACUGGGCGUAAAGCGUGCGUAGGCGGCUUUUUAAGUCGGAUGUGAAAUCCCUGAGCUUAGCUUAGGAAUUGCAUUCGAUACUGGGAAGCUAGAGUAUGGGAGAGGAUGGUAGAAUUCCAGGUGUAGCGGUGAAAUGCGUAGAGAUCUGGAGG
This 597-nucleotide ribosomal RNA is filed under the name uncultured bacterium. RNAcentral describes it as "bacterial SSU rRNA". It matches the Rfam family "Bacterial small subunit ribosomal RNA", at positions 112 to 704 of the family's 1533-position model. The record is from RNAcentral.